This 253-nucleotide ribosomal RNA is filed under the name uncultured bacterium. Its description in RNAcentral is "partial 16S ribosomal RNA". It matches the Rfam family "Bacterial small subunit ribosomal RNA", at positions 524 to 776 of the family's 1533-position model. The record is from RNAcentral.
UACGUAGGUGGCAAGCGUUGUCCGGAAUUAUUGGGCGUAAAGCGCGCGCAGGCGGUCCCUUAAGUCUGAUGUGAAAGCCCACGGCUCAACCGUGGAGGGUCAUUGGAAACUGGGGGACUUGAGUGCAGAAGAGGAAAGUGGAAUUCCAUGUGUAGCGGUGAAAUGCGUAGAGAUGUGGAGGAACACCAGUGGCGAAGGCGACUUUCUGGUCUGUAACUGGCGCUGAGGUGCGAAAGCGUGGGGCGCAAACAGG